This 22-nucleotide non-coding RNA is filed under the name Rattus norvegicus (Norway rat). The record is from RNAcentral. Lineage: Eukaryota; Metazoa; Chordata; Mammalia; Rodentia; Muridae.
UGCUCUGUUUGCGGUUUGGUUA